GCUUCGAUGGUUUCUGCAUCUGAAGACGCAGCUUCGAUGGUUACUGCAUCUGAAGAGGCAGCUUCGAUGGUUUCUGCAUCUGAAGACGCAGCUUCGAUGGUUACUGCAUCUGAAGACGCAGCUUCAAUGGUUUCUGCAUCUGAAGUAGGCAGCUUCGAUGGUUUCUGCAUCUGAAGACGCAGCUACGAUGGUUUCUGAAUGUGAUGAAGAUCUGACAAAUAUUAGACCUUCCCCCCCACUCCCCCAUCAGCUCAAGGUUGUCUUUAUUGUCUUCUGUGGAAUAUCUUGUUUUUCAUGACAUACAAUAUUGCUUCGAAUGUUUGUUUUUAAAUACUGUUACUCGUUACUUCUAACAAAAAUGGCUAUUGUUGAAAGUGAUUUCUUUCUAAUGACACCAUUACUCUUUGCAUUGUCCAUUAGUGGGAAGAUUUUCCUACUGUUUUUAUCAUGUUACACAUUACAGUACGGUUUUGUUAAUCGGAGUGUGUUCGGUCUUCUGGCUGGCAAAAUGUUUGGAAGUGUUCAAGUGUUCACUUUGAAUUUUAGAAUUGUGUGAACUUUAGUGGAUAUUUAGCUAUUAUAGUACUUGCUGAAAGAUUAGACUGAUAUUAAUUACACACCUAGUGAAACUGCAGUGUUGGUAGAUUGGUACUUCAAAUUUUGACAAUCACAUUGACCAAAAUUCUGGUAUCAUGUUUCCAGCUGAGACAAUUUUUAGACUCAGGUAGAUUUGUGAACAAAUUUUGUAGGGGUAAUCAUAUCCUUUGCGCUUUGACAGCAUGAAAUGAUUGACAAUAUACAGAAUUAUCUAACUCGAAAGAAGUUAAAGACCAUCCAAAUACCUUCAUAUCACUGUAGCUACUGUUUCCUGGCGUAACUGUCAAUGUGACUAUGAAAGAAUUGGCUGUAGUGUAACUCAAGUUCUGUCAUUUGGUAUGCACUUAUAAAAGAACAAUAACAACUGAAGUUACCAUGUGUUUCCAGUUUCCUUGAGAGCAUUUUUCACAUGCUUCUUAAAAUGAUUAUCAUAGCUUACUUUGCUGAUUAGUUUGUAAUAUUUGGUAUGUGUGGCUAGUGGUGGGAUUAACAUGAAUGCUCCAUUUUUGUUACACAGUUUAUUUUAUAAUUUGACCCUGAUCUGGCGUCACACCAUCAGGUAAAGGAGUACAUUUGGACAGGAAUUGAGACGAGACCUCCACCCCACUCCCCCAUGCCACUCAGUGGGGAUCACUUGUUGUAGGGCACUCUGUAGGGCAGAU
This is a long non-coding RNA of Haliotis rubra (blacklip abalone), 1259 nucleotides long. RefSeq lists it as uncharacterized. The record is from RefSeq and is a predicted model, not a curated record. The transcript is spliced from 3 exons. NCBI's taxonomy places the organism in Eukaryota, Metazoa, Mollusca, Gastropoda, Lepetellida, Haliotidae.